Molecule: ribosomal RNA, 336 nt
Filed under: uncultured bacterium
Lineage: Bacteria
Description: bacterial SSU rRNA
Rfam family: Bacterial small subunit ribosomal RNA
Source: RNAcentral
GGUGCUAAUACCGCAUCGAUGUGCGAGGGUCGCAUGACUCUUGUACCAAAGGAGCAAUCCGCUGAAAGAUGAGCUCGCGUCUGAUUAGCUAGUUGGUGAGGUAACGGCCCACCAAGGCGACGAUCAGUAGCCGGACUGAGAGGUUGAAACGGCCACAUUGGAACUGAGAUACGGUCCAGACUCCUACGGGAGGCAGCAGUGGGGAAUAUUGGGGCAAUGGGCGCAAGCCUCGACCCCAGCAACGCCGUGUGAAGGAAGAAGGUCUUCGGAUUGUAAACUUUGUCUUAUGGGACGAUAGUGACGGUACCAUAGGAGGAAGUCACGACUAACUACGUG